Molecule: long non-coding RNA, 1098 nt
Filed under: Zalophus californianus (California sea lion)
Lineage: Eukaryota; Metazoa; Chordata; Mammalia; Carnivora; Otariidae
Description: lncRNA (ENSZCAG00015006963.1)
Source: RNAcentral
CUGGCAGCCAAUGACUAGCCGGGUGGUCCGGCAGCGCGAGGAUUCCGGGACCCGUGAGCGGAGCGGCGCGUGGGCCCGUUCCGGUCGGCCCCGGCAGGUGCCUUCUUUAGAAUUCCUGAAAUGGCAGGAGAAGGGUGGUGAGAAGAGGAACGGCCAUUCUGCUAUCAUUGAAGUAGUGACCAGAGAACACACUGUCACCAUUAACAAGUGCAUCCAUGGAGUGGACUUGAAGAAGUAUGUUCUUCGGGCACUCAGACCCAGAAGUUUGCCCUGAAGGAGAUGUGAACUCCAGAUGUGCGCAUUGUCACCAGGCUCAACAAAUGUGUCUGGGCUGAGGGAAUAAAGGAAUGUCCCACACCAUAUCUGUGUGUGUUUAUCCAGAAAACAUAGUAAGAAUGAAGGCUGUGUAUAUUGGUUACCUGUGUUCCUGUCAGUACUUAAAAAUAUCUGCAGAUAGUCUUUGUGGAUGAGAACUAACUGCUAAUUGUCAAAUAAAGCUCUAAAGCCCCCCCCACACACGUAAGGCAGUCUUAGAACAUGAAUAGAAAUGUGUCUAGAAUAGUAAUUCUUUUUUUUUUUUUUUUACAGAUUUUAUUUAUUAAAAAGAGGGAGAGCACACACACGCGUGAGUGUAGGGAGGGGCAGAGGGAGAGAAUCUUCAAGUAGACUCCCCGCUGAGCGUGGAGCCAGACAUGGGGCUUGGAGCUCACUCAAUCUCAUGACCCCCAGAUCAUGACCUGAGCCGAAAUCAAGAGUCUGACACUCAACCAGCUGAGCCCCCCAAGUGCCCCUGGAAUAGUAGUAAUUCUUGAUUUGGGGGGGUUCAAGGACAGUUUUAAAAUUUUAUGAAAGCUAUAUGGAUUGCCUCUUUAUUAAAAGAUAAUUAAUAGACCUGAAGUGGACUUCUUUAAUUGCUGUACUAUUGAACAUUUUUAGUUGUUUUUAAAAAUAGCUUUCUUUCUAAAUUUCCUUAUUUUUCCCAUUUAUUUAUCAAGUUAUAUAUGGGUAUGUAUGUAAUUAAUAUAUGUAUAUGUAUAUUUUCUUUAUUUCCCAUGUUGUCUGUCUUAGUUUACAGAACUUUAAAUUUUUUAUACGGUC